UACGGGGGGGGUAAGCGUUGUUCGGAAUUACUGGGCGUAAAGGGCUCGUAGGCGGCCAACUAAGUCAUACGUGAAAUCCCUCAGCUUAACUGGGGAACUGCGUGUGAUACUGGAUGGCUUGGAUUCGGGAGAGGGAUGCGGAAUUCCAGGUGUAGCGGUGAAAUGCGUAGAUAUCUGGAGGAACACCGGUGGCGAAGGCGGCAUCCUGGACCGAUAUUGACGCUGAGGAGCGAAAGCCAGGGGAGCAAACGGG
This 253-nucleotide ribosomal RNA is filed under the name uncultured bacterium. RNAcentral's name for it is "partial 16S ribosomal RNA". It matches the Rfam family "Bacterial small subunit ribosomal RNA", at positions 524 to 776 of the family's 1533-position model. The record is from RNAcentral.